UAUUAGGUUGGUGCAAAAAUAGUCGCAGUUUUUGCCAUUGCUUUUACUUACCUUUAAUGGCAAAAACCACAAUUACUUUUGCACCAACCUAACAGUUGAU
This 100-nucleotide microRNA precursor is filed under the name Chlorocebus sabaeus (green monkey). RNAcentral describes it as "miRNA (ENSCSAG00000021184.1)". Lineage: Eukaryota; Metazoa; Chordata; Mammalia; Primates; Cercopithecidae. The record is from RNAcentral.